UAGUUAACCUACCCAACAGUGGGGAAUAACCCCUCGAAAGAGGAGCUAAUACCGCAUACGCUCUCUUGUGAUAGCAGGAGAGGAAACGCCGCAAGGUGGCUGAUGGAUGGGACUGCGGCGGAUUAGCUAGAUGGUGGGGUAAAGGCCUACCAUGGCGACGAUCCGUAGCUGGUCUGAGAGGACGACCAGCCACACUGGGACUGAGAUACGGCCCAG
This 216-nucleotide ribosomal RNA is filed under the name uncultured bacterium. RNAcentral's name for it is "partial 16S ribosomal RNA". It matches the Rfam family "Bacterial small subunit ribosomal RNA", at positions 118 to 334 of the family's 1533-position model. The record is from RNAcentral.